Molecule: small nucleolar RNA, 147 nt
Organism: Macadamia integrifolia
Lineage: Eukaryota; Viridiplantae; Streptophyta; Magnoliopsida; Proteales; Proteaceae
Product: small nucleolar RNA snoR135
Exons: 1
Source: RefSeq, a predicted model, not a curated record
UAAGCAGGGAUUGUGUGUAUCGGCGAUGUGCAAGAUCAUGCACUUUUAGCCGGAAGAGUUCCCUGCGAAAUCUAAUUUCGGUAGAGGAUGGGCAGUUGUGUACCAUUCUUUUCUGUUGGUAUUUCAACAAUCAUCAUCUCCACAUCA